AAAGGUAUGCGGGUUAUGUAUAGAUUCAUAUAGCACAUGGAUGCAUAUAGCUACAAUGUCGUAUUGUCAACGUACAUGUAUGUAUGUAUGUAUGGUACAAGUCAUUUAUACCUGACCUCUACGGUAACUUCCGAUAUAACGACAUAUUUUCUUUUAACAUCGCAGAAAUAAACUUCUCGAUUUCUGUUAUCUCAACUUGAUAACAGAUGGAAUUGGCUUAGCAUUUUUUCUUAAUGCUUUCUCUUUAGAUUUUCAUCACGGAAUAGCCAAGUGACACAUUUUUUUUUUUUUUAAAGAUGUAGAUGGCAAAUCACAAUUCCAAUGUGCAAACUGCUUUGUAUCAUAUUUUCGUAUGGCUCUGUAAAAUCAUAGUUGCAUUUCUGAGACAUUGAAUUACAACGGAAACCAAACUGUCGAUUUCAGAUAAAUUUUUAAUCUAUUUUUUUCCAAGAAUUUGGGAAAUAAAACGAGAUUUGCCUGGUGCACUAUUAAUCUACGCCCUGGGAAACAAAAAUUCAAAACCUCAAAAUCGAAUCAUGCAUUGACUCGCAAAGUGCAUAAAUGAGGUACAUAACCCGGAUGCCAUUGAUACAUCUGUACUUUUACCCAUUCUGGUCCGUUUUUGCACAACAAUGAUGUCCCUGACACCCCAUGAAAUCGAACAGAAAGUCAAAGGUCACCAGAUCACGUGCCAUCAGAAAUGGAUUACCCCUCCUAAUCCCCUGUUUUCAUGCGAAACCGAUGCCGAUGGAGACUCGAUUCACCGAGACAGGGACGAAAUGUUUUAUACUUCUGCGAGAAACAUGCCUGUCGCAGAAAUUCUGACAGAAGAUUUCUGGUUCCGACUGCCAGGAUGUCGUUGUUUUUUUUCUUCUCGCCACGGUGCUGAUGUAGACAUGGACCGCCCGCCAUGACAGCCUCCAUCCCGCCAUCUGACCGACCAGAGAAUUCUGGCAAGAUGGCGGCCAAGGAUCAUCUGCCGCUGGGACUCGUCCACGCGCGCAGAGGCUACACUUGAAUAGAGUAGAACGGCCGGUCAGAGAGGAGAGGAGAUGUAGCAAAGAACACGUCCAACAUGCGGUGCCUCCACACCUUCAAUGCCCCGAAAGCGGCAGUACACGGUGUGUAUCUGUUGAGGCACAGAGAUCAGAUGGAGACUCUGCCGAUCGUAUAUAUGAGCAGAACGACCCGAAGAACAUAGAGAACUGAAUCAACUCUGGUCCAGACGGCCGUCUACGCAUACUGCGACGUCAUAUAAAACCCCCGUUCAUUCACUAGUAAACGUCAUCAACAGAGCAGCCAAUUGUACUCAAGUACCAGCCAAUGAAGCACUAUCUCUUUAUUACGUCGAGCCAUGAUGAAAAUUGUAAUUGGAAGCCACUCUCGAUCGUGUGUCAUGUGUCGUACUACUGAAAUGAAAUUUGGUGUUACACCUUUCAAGUCAAUACCAUAACUUUACCAUUGGACGGUUUUGAAUACAUGAUGUUUGAGUAGGCUCUCACGUUGUAUAUGUCAUGUUUCCUCAUUAUCUAAAUUGAUAAAUGAAAAAUUAUGAACU
This is a long non-coding RNA of Branchiostoma floridae (Florida lancelet), 1558 nucleotides long. RefSeq lists it as uncharacterized. The record is from RefSeq and is a predicted model, not a curated record. The transcript has 3 exons. Lineage: Eukaryota; Metazoa; Chordata; Leptocardii; Amphioxiformes; Branchiostomatidae.